Molecule: long non-coding RNA, 1332 nt
Filed under: Mus musculus (house mouse)
Lineage: Eukaryota; Metazoa; Chordata; Mammalia; Rodentia; Muridae
Description: long non-coding RNA chr8:12325111-12326443
Source: RNAcentral
GCUGCCCACUGCGGCCUGACUUUUAGCUAAAGAGGCUUCGCUUUCCAACCGCCCUGUCGAGUCUAAUUUGGUGGCAUUAUGUGAAGGGGUGGGGCGCUCCUGACAGGAAGGGUUAAAUGAGAUUACAAGCCCGGCAGGCUGUCAGCAGCCACCGCUGGCUGGGAUGGCAAAUUGCAAUUUAAUGGUCAGCUUUAUCUGUACGGUAUCAGUGGAAAUCGGCUGUUUUCAGCAACUUAAUUGGCACUGUUUGCAGGAGUUUUUUGAGGAGGUAGGAGAGUUGACUGGAUCUUAAUGUUGAAUAAUUUAGAAAGCAAAACUGGCAGAAGGCUGGUGGAAACCGGCGGCAGCGGGUCUUGUUUUUCUGAAGCGCAGAGAGCUUAUGAAUGGGCCAGAUACUGAAUUCUGCUGUAGUAACCAGAACUUUCUAAAAAUACUCCGAGGGUCUGAUAUACUGAGGCUUUAUUUAUAGGAAAAUAAACAAAGAGUGGCAAUUGCUUUUCCGAUCUGUGUGUGCAUCUGACUGUCGCGGGCAUGAGAAUGCAGGAAGAUGCGGCAGCCGAGGAUGUGCACCGAUGGAUGAGUGCGGAGGGGAGGCCUCAGGCUGGAGGGACAGGUGUCCCAGAGAACACCCCUGGUACCAAGCCGAUGGCAGGACUGUGUGAGCACAUGUAUAGGGGAAACUCAUGUUUUAUGCACAUGUACAAAUAAAUAUAUGUGCCCAUGAAUGUGGGUGAGUCUAUUCCAGCAUGUGAACACAUGGGAGGUAUAAUGUGUUCAUGUGUGCAGCUUUGGAUAUGUAUGUAUACAUGUGUAACUGUGAGUGUGUAUGCCCACAUUAAUGAGUGUGCAUGGAUGUGUGUGUGUGUGUGUGUGUUAAAGGGUAAGUAUGUGUGCUCAUAUGUGAUGUAUGCACAUCUGUGCAUUUGGACAUGUGUGUAAACAUGUGUAUAUGAGUUUUGGAAGUCAGUACAUAAGUUUGAUGUGUGUUUCUGUGCCUCUGUGUGUACAUGUGUGUGAGUCAUGUGUAUGCAUGUAUAUGAGGAGUCUCUGCACACAAAGUAUAGAUGAGUAUGUAUGUGUUAGAUACAUGUAACCAUGAUAUGUGUACACAUACAUAAGCAUGUGUUAUAAGUGGGUAUAACUAUAUACAUAUGUGGUGUGAAGUGUGUGGUAUAUGUUGCAUAUGUAUAUAUGACAGUGUGUGGGUAUGUGUCUGAUUGUGAUGUAUGUAUAUAUUUUAUGUACAUGUAUGUGAAAAUUGAGGGAAUAUACAUGUUGGGUUGAUGUAUGUGACAUGUAUUAUAUGUGAAUGUGAAAGUGUGUGUAUGUGGG